UGGGGAAUAUUGGACAAUGGGCGAAAGCCUGAUCCAGCCAUGCCGCGUGUGUGAAGAAGGUCUUCGGAUUGUAAAGCACUUUAAGUUGGGAGGAAGGGUUGUAGAUUAAUACUCUGCAAUUUUGACGUUACCGACAGAAUAAGCACCGGCUAACUCUGUGCCAGCAGCCGCGGUAAUACAGAGGGUGCAAGCGUUAAUCGGAAUUACUGGGCGUAAAGCGCGCGUAGGUGGUUUGUUAAGUUGGAUGUGAAAGCCCCGUGCUCAACCUAGGAACUGCAUCCAAAACUGGCAAGCUAGAGUACGGUAGAGGGUGGUGGAAUUUCCUGUGUAGCGGUGAAAUGCGUAGAUAUAGGAAGGAACACCAGUGGCGAAGGCGACCACCUGGACUGAUACUGACACUGAGGUGCGAAAGCGUGGGGAGCAAACA
Molecule: ribosomal RNA, 427 nt
Filed under: uncultured bacterium
Lineage: Bacteria
Description: partial 16S ribosomal RNA
Rfam family: Bacterial small subunit ribosomal RNA
Source: RNAcentral